GGGGGUGUCAAGGUUUCGACUGUUGGAUUACGAUGGUCGGGUUGCAGGUGGAGCGUUACCUCCUUAAACUUUCUUUUUGUUAAGUGCCAAAAAAGAAGACGUUGUUGUCGUUUCUUUCGACAACACAGCACUUAAACUCGCAGCUUAAUAUAUAGCAGCGACGGGCACCCAGGACGCCGUUCUGAGGCUUGGACUGUCCGCCACAAACCAGAACUUACCUUUUCUUUAGUCCGAGACUGAAGAGGGACAUUAAAUCGGAAGUAGGAUUUUGCAGGGUCGUCUCCUCCUCUCGUAAUUUCUGAAAUACCAAGUAGAGACUAAACUUGUAGAGACCUUACCAGCGCCCAAUAGGACGCGGGUUCGAUUCCCGCCACCUCCAUAU
Molecule: transfer-messenger RNA, 382 nt
Filed under: Spirochaetia
Lineage: Bacteria; Pseudomonadati; Spirochaetota
Also listed under: 2 other names
Description: Oceanispirochaeta sp003346715 Standard tmRNA
Rfam family: transfer-messenger RNA
About the family: Bacterial tmRNA, also known as 10Sa RNA or SsrA, is named for its dual tRNA and mRNA-like properties. Its role is to liberate the mRNA from a stalled ribosome. To accomplish this part of the tmRNA is used as a reading frame that ends in a translation stop signal.
Source: RNAcentral